UACGUAGGUGGCGAGCGUUGUCCGGAUUUACUGGGCGUAAAGGGCGUGCAGGCGGUUUGUUAAGUUCAGGGUGAAAGCUCCCGGCUCAACUGGGAGAGGUCCUUGGAUACUGGCAGACUAGAGGAGGGUAGAGGAGAGUGGAAUUCCCGGUGUAGUGGUGAUAUGCGUAGAUAUCGGGAGGAACACCAGUGGCGAAGGCGGCUCUCUGGGCCCUACCUGACGCUGAGACGCGAAAGCGUGGGGAGCGAACCGG
This 253-nucleotide ribosomal RNA is filed under the name uncultured bacterium. RNAcentral's name for it is "partial 16S ribosomal RNA". It matches the Rfam family "Bacterial small subunit ribosomal RNA", at positions 524 to 776 of the family's 1533-position model. The record is from RNAcentral.